Molecule: ribosomal RNA, 253 nt
Filed under: uncultured bacterium
Lineage: Bacteria
Description: partial 16S ribosomal RNA
Rfam family: Bacterial small subunit ribosomal RNA
Source: RNAcentral
UACGUAGGGUGCGAGCGUUGUCCGGAAUUAUUGGGCGUAAAGAGCUCGUAGGCGGUCUGUCGCGUCGGAUGUGAAAAUCCAGGGCUUAACCCUGGACCUGCAUUCGAUACGGGCAGACUAGAGUUCGGUAGGGGAGACUGGAAUUCCUGGUGUAGCGGUGAAAUGCGCAGAUAUCAGGAGGAACACCGGUGGCGAAGGCGGGUCUCUGGGCCGAUACUGACGCUGAGACGCGAAAGCGUGGGGAGCGAACAGG